This 253-nucleotide ribosomal RNA is filed under the name uncultured bacterium. RNAcentral's name for it is "partial 16S ribosomal RNA". It matches the Rfam family "Bacterial small subunit ribosomal RNA", at positions 524 to 776 of the family's 1533-position model. The record is from RNAcentral.
UACAGGGGGUGCAAACGUUGCUCGGAAUUAUUGGGCGUAAAGCGCGCGUAGGCGGCUACCUAAGUCGGAUGUGAAAGCCCCUGGCUUAACCGGGGAAGUGCACCCGAAACUGAGUAGCUAGAGUGCAAAAGAGGGUCGCGGAAUUCCCGGUGUAGAGGUGAAAUUCGUAGAUAUCGGGAGGAACACCGGUGGCGAAGGCGGCGACCUGGGUUGACACUGACGCUGAGGCGCGAAAGCGUGGGGAGCAAACAGG